CACACUUAGCUGCCUUUUUUAAAGCAUCUUCAAUACACCUUCUCUUAUGAACUGCACUCUUAAAAGAUAGUAGCACUUUAGCAGGCACGAUGCACAGUACAUUGCAGCCUUGGAUGAUUAAAGACUCUUGAACUAUUUUUCUCAUGCAAUUCCAGUUAUCUGUUAAGAGGUUUGCGACACUGUGCUUAGUUCUCUAUUUUAAAAAGUUUCCUUGGCAUUAAUUAAAAUCAUUUAAGCCUUAGAGGGGAGCAAAUAUUACCUGCACAUUUCCUGCAAAUUAUACUCACCUUAAAAUUACAACGUUGAGUAAUCUUCUAUUUCAAGUUCUAGCACCUUGGUCCUUGACAACAUUUAUUAUUCCUCUCGACUAACCAUCUUUGAGGAUUCUACGCUCCUCUAUGGAACCUCAAUUUCCACCUAUCUUUUUUUUUCUCACAGUUUUUAAGCUUUUAGUCUUUUAGCCCCAGAAAGAUCAUGGUGGCAUGGUUUGCAACUUGUGAACUCAUUUGUUUCUGAAUUGUUUUAACUCUGUUCAAAGAUAAGUUAGAACACCAUUUAAACCAGCUAAUUUGAUGGACUUGUCAGUGAACAAUAUGAUAAAGUGACGUGGGAAGGCUUCAUCUUGGCAUUUCCUACACUGCUGUUUAGUUUAUUUACUUACAGUCCUGAUGCAAUAGUGGGUUAUUUUCUUUUUAUUAUAGGUUGAUGAGUUUGAUUUUUGUAAGAAUUAGCUUCCCUCCAAAUAAUUUAUUCACAAAAUAUUCUAAUGAACUGAACAAUCUUUUCUUCGUUUGAUAGUUAAAAUUGCUUGAUUGCGUGUUGUCCCAAAGAAAUAUUUGUUGUAAGUUCCCCAUGCAAUACUUCCUUGAGACUAUAUCAGGUAAAACCAUGAUCGUCUUUAUGGUUUUAUACGAAACAAAAAAUAUAUAUACCAUAUAUCUAAAGUACAAAUUUGUUACCUCAUGUUUGGUUAGAUUAGCACGAUUUGAAUUUUCGUACAAUUUCUUAUAUCCUCGAGAUCUUCCUUCCUAUGAUCUUAUGUUGAACUUGGAGUGUGGUCUCCAAAUUAAGCACCCUUCUAGAAAAACCCUAACUAUAUUUUUUCUAGACUGAAAGAGAGAAUACGUAUUUUUGUUUUUCCUCUGAUAGAAAAGUCUACUCAUACGUUUAUGAUCAAUAAUAUAUAUAAUAACAUUGAUCUUUACCCUCUCUCAAGAAGUUGGUCUAUAUUAGGCUAGGAAUUGAAAGAGAUCUCAAGGGAUUCCUUUAUUGACUCCAAUAUUUAUCUAGAUAUUAUUAUCUAAUAAUAAUAUUCAAAAUAAAUAUUAGUUACAAUUAAUUCCACUAAAUAAUUGUAAUUGUCACUUUAGUCCAGGAAUUAAUUAAAUAAACCAUUUAUUACUAAUAAACUGUAAAUAUUUCUUUUAUAAAUGUACAUAAAUAUUUCAGAAUCAAUUAAUAUAAUUCAAAUACAUUUAAAUUAAUUUCAUAAGUCCAUAAUUUAUCUCUAUUUGAUCAUAAAUUGAUUUAACAAUUAAAUUAAUAAUUUUUAUAAUAAAUAUUAAAAGACUCGACCAAGAUUCUAUGAUUAAUGAUAUUAUAAAAAAUCUUAUAGAUGUUUUGACAAUAAUAAUGUUCGUAAUAUUAAUUAAAUAUAUUAANNNNNNNNNNNNNNNNNNNNNNNNNNNNNNNNNNNNNNNNNNNNNNNNNNNNNNNNNNNNNNNNNNNNNNNNNNNNNNNNNNNNNNNNNNNNNNNNNNNNAUAUAUAUAUAUAUAUAUAUAUAUAUAUAUAUAUAUAUAUAUAACGAUAUUAAGUCUACUAUAAUUUCAAAUUUAAGACAUUUUACUAAUUAAUAUUUACGUGAACAUAUUUUACAAAUAAAAUAUUAUCACAUGAUCCGUUUAAUGCACACUGUUAAUGCAUUUUAGUACUUUAAUUAGAAGUCCAACUUCCAUGAUCAAUAUAAAUCAUCUCUGUUAAAGUACUAUAACCUACAGGAUAAUAUCUCCAAAUUAUCCUAGGUUACAAAUCAUUAUUUUUUUUAUUUAUAUAUUACAAAUUUAUAUCUUUUGUGUAUAACAUUUACUUAUACACAUAAACCAUAACAUAUAUAAUAUGGAGAUAUAUAUAAACAAACUAAAUAAUCAUUUAAUGAAUGAUGAAUCAAUGUCAUUAAAUGAUGAAUCAAUGUCUAACAUAAAUAAAUAGAUAAAUAGGAUUUUUAUAGCAAAAAAAUCUAACAUUAGUUAUUUCUCUUUUGCUUUUGUUGAGUUUUGUACAUGUCUCUUAUUGAAUGCAGGCCCCUCCUGUGAUAGUGUUCUCUUCCGCUUGUGCAGGAUUAGCAGGUUAGAGUUUCUCAAUAAUGUCUCGUAUUGGCAUACUCUUUGCUUGUGCUUGGUUACAUGUAUUAUUUUCAAUGUAUGUAUAAUUUUGGAGAAACUUUUUAAUAUGAUAACUCCAGCAAAAUCCUCCAUCAUUCUCUUUAAACUGCACUUUCUUUGUGUGAUUUUUAAUCUAAAUAUGUCUCUACACAUGCUAUAUUAUGGAGAUUUUCUUUCAAGUUAUUCUGGAACUGCAACCAUGUUUUUUUUAAUAAAAUGUACAACAGCUUCUAUUUAUUUCUGAUAAUACAUAUUUUUGCUAUUUCCUUUUUGGGAUUUGUGGUUGAGACAAGUGAUCGAACUCUUCUCUGAGGUUGCGCUUUAAAAGAAAAGAGAAUAGAAGGUCGUCCUUCUUACAUCUACUAUGAAGCACAACGAUUGAUCGAUCAUAUUCCUUCUCUUCAUUACUCUCAUGCAAUUGCAUGUGCAUGUGAUAGAGUACUUGUUGGGCUGUUUUCUUUUCUAAGGUGUAGCCCAUCAGUUAUGGUGCUUGAGAAGCCAACUUUAUUGUCAAAAGUUCAUUCUCUCCAGGAGGGAAUGAAAGUUUUGAUUUGCUGCAUCUUUAUUGUUUCUUUGGAUUGUUAAUUUAGACAAAUAAAUUGUUCUCCCCCCUAUACUCUGUCAUGAUACCUGGAUGUUAUUGCUUCCUCGCCAAUUUUAAGAGAAACUUGAUAUUUUUUCUGGCCUCUGCGAACCAAAUUCAAUUAGGGGGAUCUAGGGAAUUGGUGAGUUUCUGUACUCCAUUUUUGAGUUCCGUGGUUUCCGUUAAUUUUUAAUAUAGUUGACACUCCUCAAGUUUAGGUAGAGAUGAUUUAGGGAAUAGCAGUUGAUCCUUCAUUACAUUUGGGGACAAUUCUCUUUCUUUGAACUCAAGUAUACUGCUAUAUUUAAACACGUUUAUGUUUGUUGUGUGUCAACAUAUUUUGCGUGGGUUUGUUAUUCUGCAGGUGGUGCUGUUCCAGCACUUGCUCAACUUGCAUCUUCAUCUUAUCAUGCAACUGUCUCAUCUCCAUCAUUGCCCCCUCCAUCCUCACAGGAUGGAAAGAUAAGCAAAUCAAGAACCUCCUCCUCCACCCUGUAAGGAUUUAUUAACUGUUCCAUGGACUUAUAUGGCAAGGCAAAAGAGAGGGAGAUUCAUAGAUCCCUUGAGCUUAUACAAACAAGGGUUGGCAGUGGUUGUGACUAGAACUUCAGUCGGAUGGGCUGAUGGGGAACAUAGGCUUCUAACAUGUGUAGAGUUGUUCACUCGAUUUUAAAUUUUACAACAUAAUACAUAUAUAGAUUGUGAUUUUCUUUCCUGAAUGUAGAAAGAUGUAAACCAAUAUGUAAUGUGAUUCUCCAUUUUAUAAAUCUAGUACAGUUUUGCUGCGGGUUUAAAGCUCAUUGAAUCUUUUGUGGAAUCCUGGAAGUUAAAUGUCUGCCUGGUCGUUGGAUAUUUCGUUUCAGGUUUUGAGAUUUAUCAACCGAGAAUCAGCCCAGUGACGCAAGUGGGCACUAUCAUCUGCAGAGAUUCAUGUGGGGAACUGUAUGAACUAGGUAAGUUAUCUUAUUUACUGAGAUUACUGUAGUAGGACUUGGUAAAUUUCAGUGAAUAGAAUUCCAUUAGGGGUUAACAAACUUUUUAAAAAAGUUGUGCACCCAAAUAAGGGAGGGAAUUUGGUAUAAAUUUUGCAACUUUAAUAUGAUAUUUGCCAUCUUUGCACCGACUGUUUAUGCUUGAAUCCCACGCAUGCAUUAUUGAACGGAUACAAAUGAUAAUCUCUUGGCACUUUAUACACAUUUGAGGCAAUUUAAAGAGUCUUAUUAAUGAAGAAUGUGCUUUAGACUCUUCGCUCAAGCUAAUAAUUACAUUAGUUUUGAGAUUGUAUAUCUGUGUGUUAAGCAAAUGAGUGCUUGCUAAACAUAGACGGCAACUCGUAGAUAUAUCAUUAAUACUGACCCUACUGAGGAUCUUAUCAUUUGGGCAGCCUAUAUGCUGAUUUGAAGAAUCACCCUUUAUUUCAUGAAGAAUGCUAAAUAACUAGACAAAAUUUGUAUACCAUGCAUCUGGUAUAUGUAUGCCUACACAACGAUUGGUGCGUUUGGAAGUUAAAAGUGUAAGCCACGUUAGUAAUAAUCUUUUUGCAGAAGCAGAAAUGCAAUAAAAUUCAGGAAAGAACAGUUUCCUUAAGACAAUAUUUGGUCGUGGCAGGACAAAUUGUCUCCCAGGAUACAACAAUGCUCUGAAGCGAACUUUACCGUGUGUAGAAAGAUUAUCACUAAGUAGGAAGGAAGAACAAAGAAGAAAACCACUCUCUCUACAACAUGGGAGAAUACUCUUAUAACAAGAAUUGAGAGAGUAACUCCCAAAUAUCCAAUUAAUCCAUCAUUGAUGCCCACUAUGCCCACUAAGCCUUCAUAAAGUAGGCCAUCAAUUCUCAUUCAUUAUCAUCCCCACUAAGCCUUCAUAAAGUAUGCUCAAUCAAUAUCAUCCGUUUCUCAACAAUCCCCCACAUGAAUGAAAAUUGAAAACAAAGGAAUUCGAUGUGGUGAUAACUCUCUACAGUUGAUAUUAGCAUAGGAUAGGUAGGCAUCAACCCUUGAACCUUCCCUUGUGAAGUAUAUUUACUUUACUGGCUGACUAGUAGACGUGAUGUCCUUGAACUAUUCUGCCGUUUGUGUAAACGAUGAUAUACCUCACACAAAUACCAACAUAACACGGUUUUGGUUCUCAUGGUUAUGUUCAUUAUGGUCGUGAACAUCUCCUGGUUCUGCAAGAAUUGAAGAGAACUAAACUCAUUAGUUUUCCUUGAAGCGACCCCACUUCAUUCUCACAUAGGUGAUUUUAUCUUUUUGUUCAGAUUACUGACACACAAGAUCAAUCAUUAAAAGCAUAGCUUAACCUUAUCCGAUUUCAUAUCACUGUUUAUAGAUAAGGGUUAGACCCCUACAAUGAUAAUACAUUGUCUAUGCAAUUAGGUUGUCCCAUUGAACCUAGAUUCUGGGAUCUCCAGUCAACAAGGUUGGGUUUUCCUUCACAUAGAACCUUUAAAUAUUUAUGGCCUUCAAUCCCAUUCUUCUUGAUGUCGUUUCAACUUGAUCUCGGUUUAAACCUUUGGUUAGCGGAUCCGCAAUGUUAUCCUUUGAUUUUACAUAAUCAAUAGAGAUAACCCCCGUUGUGAUCAGUUGCCUAACGGUAUUGUGACGACGACGCAUGUGUCUCGACUUACCGUUAUACAUCACGUUCUGUGCUCUUUUAAUCGAUGCUUGAUUAUCACAAUAUAAACAAAUUGUGUGCACAGGCUUAGGCCAUUCAGGAAUAUCCUCCAAGAAGUUUCGUAACCAUUCGGCUUCUUCUCCGGUUUUAUCCAGAGCUACAAACUCAGACUCCAUCGUGGAUCUGGUUAUGAUCGUUUGCCUUGAGGAUUUCCAGGACACUGCUCCUCCUCCCAGAGUGAACACGUAUCCACUUGUACCUUUGGAGUUCUUUAUAUCAGAAAUCCAACUAGCAUCAGAGAAUCCUUCUAAUACUGCAGGUUCUCUCGUAUAGUGCAGUCCAUAAUUACGAGUGUAUCUUAGAUACCGAAGUAUCCUAACGAUAGCUUUCCAGUGGUUAUCCCCUGGAUUACUCGUGUAUUUGCUUAAACUGUUUACAGUGAAAGCAAUAUCAGGUCUUGUACAAGUCAUGAGAUACAUCAGACUGCCUAUAAUCCUUGCGUAUUCUACUUGGUCAACGCUUUCACCUUUGUUUUUACAGAGGUGCUGGCUGAUAUCUAGAGGAGUUCUAGCUUCACUAGAAUCAUCCUUGCUGAACUUCCCAAGUAUCUUGUCCACGUAAUGUGACUGGGUUAAAAUGAAACCAUUAGGUGAACGCUUGAUUUGAAUUCCCAAAAUCACAUCAGCCAGUCCCAUAUCUUUCAUAUCAAACUUAGAGUUUAACAUAUCCUUAGUAUUCUUCACCAUAUUUUCAUUACUACCCACAAUCAGUAUGUCGUCAACAUACAAACACAGAAUAACAUAUCCUUUGUUUGUGAUUUUGACAUAAAUACAUUUGUCACAUUCGUUUAUAUUAUAGCCAUUAGCCAUCAUGACAUCAUCAAAUUUCUUAUGCCAUUGUUUUGGUGCUUGCUUUAGUCCAUAUAAGGACUUCACCAAUUUACACACUUUUCUUUCCUGGCCUGGAACUACACAACCUUCAGGUUGUUCCAUGUAGAUCUCUUCAUCAAGAUUUCCAUUCAAAAAGGCUGUCUUAACGUCCAUUUGAUGUACUUCGAGAUUCCGUAAAGCGGCAAUAGCAAGUAUCAUCCUAAUAGAGGUUAUUCUCGACACUGGAGAAUACGUAUCAAAGUAAUCAAGGCCUUCCUUUUGUCUAUAUCCUUUUAUAACCAAUCUGGCCUUGUACUUAUCAAUUGUUCCAUCUGCUUUCAUUUUCCGUGUGAAAAUCCAUUUAGAACUUAGUGGUUUCGUUCCCAGAGGAAGGUCCACUAAUUCCCAGGUAUGAUUUUGCAUAAUGGAAUCAAUUUCACUUCUUAUAGCCUCUUUCCAUAAAGGACUAUCUGUUGAAUUUACAGCCUGACUGUAAUUCUGAGGUUCAACCUCUAGCAUAUAGGUUAGAAAGUCUGGUCCAAAAGAUUUUUCAACCCUUGCCCUUUUACUUCUUCUAGGCUCUACCUUUUCAUUUCCUUCUACUUCAACUUCAUGUUGAAUGUCUUGACUGUCUUCAUUAACAAUCUCAAGAGAUCUUUUCGAACCCGAUUCAAUCUCUUCACGUUUGCAUGGAAAAAUGUGUUCAAAGAAUGAAGCAUUCUUUGAUUCCAUGAAUGUGUUCUUGUGUAUAUCAGGAUUCUUAGAAUCAUGAACAAGAAACCGAUAUGCGUUACUGUGAAGCGCAUAACCAAUGAAAAUACAAUCCACCGUCUUUGGACCUAUUUUCAUUUUCUUUGGCAACGGAGCCAAAACUUUUGCAAGGCACCCCCACACUUUUAAGUAGUUAUAGGAAGGUUUCCUUCCUUUCCAUAACUCAUAUGGUGUCUUGUCUAAUUUCUUACGAGGCACCUUAUUUAAAAGGUGAUUAGCUGAUAAGACAGCUUCCCCCCACAUGUUCUGUGGCAACCCAGAACUGUUUAGCAUCGCAUUCAUCAUCUCUUUUAGAGUACGAUUCUUGCAUUCCGCUACCCCAUUAGAUUGAGGAGAGUAAGGUGGAGUAACCUCAUGAAUAAUACCAUGUUGGGAGCAGAACUUACCAAAUGGUUCAACAUAUUCACCACCACGAUCACUCCUUACCACCUUAAUUUUCUUAUUAAGUUGGUUUUCAACUUCCUGCUUAUAAAGAACAAAUUUCUCUAACGCUUCAUCUUUGCUUUUAAGCAAAUAUACAUAGCAAUAUUUUGUACUAUCAUCAAUGAAAGUGAUAAAAAAUUUAUUACCCCCCCCCCCCUUGUUUGGAUAAAUUUUAAAUCACAUACAUCACUAUGUAUCAGAUCAAGUGGUUCUGUAUUUCUUUCAACUAUAUGAAAUGAAGAUCUUGUUAAUUUUGAUUCAACACAAAUUUCACAUUUAUGUUUAUGAUCAAGUUGGAAUGUUGGAAUAUGUUGUAAAUUAAUUAACCUACGUAGGGUAUUAUAAUUUACAUGUCCAAGUCUACCAUGCCAUAAAUUAAAUGACUCAAUGAUAUAAGCAGAAGAAGUAUUAUUCUUAUUAUUAAUCAUUGCAUUGGACUUGCUAGAGAUGGCAUUAAUUUUCCACAUGCCAUUACAAACAUACCCCUUUCCCACAUACAUUCCCCCUUUUGACAAAACAAACUUGUCCGAUUCAAAUACCAUCCUAAAACCAUGAAUGCUUAGGAGGCUGCCAGAUACAAGAUUCUUCCUAAUUUCAGGAACAUACAAAACAUUCUUCAAAGUCACUUCUUUUCCCGAAGUCAUCUUCAGAAUUACAGUACCACUUCCCUUGAUCUUGGAAGUUGCAGCAUUGCCCAUGUAGAGCUUCUCCCCAUUCUUGCUGGGAACCAGUUCAGCAAAGGAAUCUUUGUCACAACAGACAUGACGUGUGGCACCGGUAUCCAGCCACCAUUCCCUUGGAUUUGAGUCAACAAGGUUGACUUCAGAAAUCACAGCACAUAAGUUGAUGUCAGACACUUCUCUAGCAAUUUCUUCCACAACAUGUGCUUCAUUAGGCUUCAACUUUCUAGGCAGCCUACAAUCAGAGGACUUGUGCCCAGCCUUGUUGCAAUUGUAGCAUUUUCCAUUAAAUUUUGGUUUCUUGGAAAUGCCACCCUUAGGACCCAAUUUGGACACAAAUUGAGGCUUUUUGCCUUUCUUGGAGUCUUUAUUGACCUCCACCACAUUCACCCUAGCCUCAGAUUGGUGGGCAACGUUGGAAAAUUUCUUCUCCGAGCCUUUGUUGUCUUCCUCAAUUCGAAGUCUAACAAUUAGUUCUUCAACUGUCAUCUCCUUUCGCUUAUGCUUAAGGUAAUUUUUGAAGUCUUUCCAACCAGGUGGUAACUUUUCAAUAAUACAAGCCACUUGAAAAGAUUCACUAAUUACCAUACGUUCAGCAUGAAUCCCAUGAAUAAUCAGCUGGAGUUCUUGAACUUGAUUCACAACAGUUUUGGAAUCAACCAUUUGGAAAUUCAGGAAUUGGCUCACUAAAAAUUUCUUAGCGCCAGCAUCUUCUGAUCUGUAUUUCCGGUCCAAGGAUUCCCAAAGUUCCUUUGCCGUUGUCUUAAUACUGUAUACACUAUAAAGUGCAUCAGUUAGACCGUUCAAAAUAUAAUUACGGCAAAGGAAAUCAGAUUGUUUCCAUGCCUCAAUUGCAUUGUAGGCGGUGACAUUAUCCACCUCAUCAUCUCUGAUAACAGGAGGAUCAUCCUUCAAGCAAUUAGCCAAAUUCAGCAUAGUAAGGUAAAACAACAUCUUCUGUUGCCAAGUCUUAAAAUUCACACCAGUGAAUUUUUCUGGUUUUUCGCUGUGAUUGACAGGUAUAGUUUGGCGGGGAGCCGCAAUCUGGAAACCAGACCCGUAAAUAGGACCAGAACCAAUGUUCUGUGAACCAGAUGCGUUCUGUCCAUCGGUGCCAUUCUGUGAACCAGAACCUAGAUUGUUCUGUGGACCAGUUGGAACAAUUUCAUUCUCAGGAAUAUUCAUUCUAAAAAUACAAACAGACCAAGUUAGUCUAAAAUUAACAAACUGUUUUGAAUAGGAACAAAUUAUUAUUUAAUUAUUCCAGAACGGUCCAAGUGAAUAUUAACUCAAAACAGUCCAAAUAAGAAAACCAAGUCAAGGUAUUCCAAAGCAAAGGUAUAACCUGCAACUUAAUAAAAGAUUAACCAAAACAAAAAUAUUGUCUUAAGAUUGUAAGCCACGUUAGUAAUAAUCUUUUGCAGAAGCAGAAAUACAAUAAAAUUCAGGAAAGAAAUCUAUAUUGUUAUUAAAGUAAAACUCAAAAUAAAAUAAAACAAAAUUAACCUUAAUACAAUGGACGUUGAACAAACUAGUAGACUGUAGCUUUGAGGACUGUAAGAACAGUUUUCUUAAGACAAUAUUUGGACGUGGCAGGACAAAUUGUCUCCCAGGAUACAACAAUGCUCUGAAGCGAACUCUACCGUGUGUAGAAAGAUUAUCACUGAGUAGGAAGGAAGAACAAAGAAGAAAAC
RNAcentral lists this long non-coding RNA (10015 nucleotides) under Panax ginseng (ginseng). RNAcentral describes it as "long non-coding RNA (PGIN_LNC009231)". The record is from RNAcentral. Lineage: Eukaryota; Viridiplantae; Streptophyta; Magnoliopsida; Apiales; Araliaceae.